UCUUGCAAUGUACUACGCUGUAGAUAAAACAGAUUAACAUCCAUGUUUUAUUACCACAUGCUCAUAAACGUAAAUCAGUGAAAGAUUGUUUACUUUUUAUUUGUUUCGAAAUAUAUUACAUUAGCUCUUGCGUUUCCUCCCUUUGCGUAUUAACAAAUAUACGUAUUGUUUACAUUUAUUUGUACUUAUUAUGUUAUUUUAAACGAAUAAAUAUUUAUAGACUGAACGAUAUAAGGUUAUUUUAUGUAUAUGAAAAAUUUCUCUCUAUAGUUAGUUAUACCUUGUAUAUUUCCUUUACACGAAAUUUAACUAAUAUAAUUUUUUUUCGCAUGUAUAAUUGAUAUAUAAUUUUUGUACUGUUUUUCGCUUCUGCUGUAUCGAUCGAGAACAGGAUAUCAUCGAUUGUAUAUUUGCGAAGAUCAUUAUGGAUUACAAUUAUGUUACAUUUUCCUUGUAUAUAUAAAAAUUGUUGCAUGAGUAAAAAGAAAACUGUAAACUGAAAUUAUAUUAAAAUGUUAACUUAAUUAUGGUUAUUAUUUUUACAUUUUAUGCCUUAAAAUGUAAAAAUGUCAUUGUGUAUGUGAUACAGUGUUUUACUUUCACCGUUUUCUCACAAUAAAUAUAUGAAAUAUAAAUUUUAUAAAAAUGACUCAUUUUGAUAAAGACACGUAUAUUGAAUGUUUACCAGUAACUGUAUAUAAUGAGAUAGUUAAUGCAUUGAAUAAAGACGCAGCUUGGAUAACAUUAGCAAAUCAUGUAGCUGAAGAGCUUCAAUAUCCAUGUACUCUGUGGAUACAAUCUUUAAACGAGAUCAAACAUCCAAACGAUUCUCCUGGACAAAAGCUGCUUUCUGAAUUAAGUAUUAAAAUGUGUACUAUAGAGAUUUUACAUACUUUAUUAAGCGACUGCAAGCUUUAUAACAUUCUUUCAAUUAUAUCUGAUCCAGAACCUUUGAGCAUUAUUAUGCAUCCAACAGAGGAAUUUCAAACUAGCAUUUUGAAAGUAUCAUUUGGACAUCGUCUUCGUCUAUGCUGUAAAGCUGUUGGGAUGCCAUUACCAAAUUACAUAUGGUACCAUAAUAAUAAUGAAUUGCAGCACUGUACUUCUGAUGUGCUUGAUUUUAUUAUAGUUAGUGCUUCUCAAGCAGGAGAAUAUAGAUGUAAGGUAUUUCAAAUUAAAAAUGAUGGAACUCUCAUAUCAACUUUGACUUCAAAGGCUAUAACUGUACAAAUUUUUUCUACACCUGUUGUGAUAGAAGAACAACCACAGCCACUUUUAGAAGUUAAAGAAGGUGAAAAUUUUACAAUUCAUUGUAAAGCCAAUAGUUAUUCCAAACCACGUUACCAAUGGUUCCAUGACAAUACUAAACUAGAAGGAGAAACAUCUAACAUUUUGCAUGUAAAACAAUUUAGUUUGAAGAAUGAAGGAAAAUAUUAUUGUUAUAUUUAUAACGAUAUCAGUGAAAUUUAUACGCAAAGAACUCGUGUAAUGAUGGAUCUUCCAAAAUUUAAAGCAGUUGCAAAAAUAGCUUUGGUCAUUGCGAAUGAAGAGUAUGAGAACCAUGAAUGUCUUUUAACAUCUAAAAAUGAUGCUGCGUGCAUUGGUAAUCUUCUUAAAGAAAUAGGAUUUGAAGUAAUUUGUCUCCUCAAUUUGACAAUUACUCAAAUGAAAAAUGCAAUAAAAAUAUUUAGCAAAGCUUUAGUUGAAGGAGUGUAUGGCUUAUUCUAUUUUGCUGGACAUGGUUUUAAAAUGCAAGAAAGUUAUAUGCUUGCAACAGAUGCUCCAGAAGCAUAUUUAAGAAAAGAUGCAAUAUGUGAAAGUGAACUAUUGUCUGCAUUCCUUGAGAAUGAUCCUGAACUAUUAAUUGUUAUUUUAGAUAUGUGUCAAACUUUACCUUCAAAAGAAUUUAAUCCUGAGAUAUACCAUGAGGUACCAACAGUGAAUGUGUAUAAAAGCAAGAAGAAUCUUAGAAAUUUAAUUCAAGCAUACUCUACAUCUAGUCAUCGACCGAGUUAUGAGAAAUUAAAUUGUAAAUAUGGUUUAUAUAUGGAACAUCUCAGCGAAUAUAUUAAUAAAGAUAUAACUGUUACAAAAUUAUUUGAAGAAGUAGGAAAAUCAAUUGAUAGCUGUUUUAAAGGGAAAGAACGGAAUCAAAUUCCAAUGUUUGCUGUCUCUGUUACAAAACCAUUUCGUCUUACUGAUGCUACUUAUAAAAACAAACGUCGCGUACAUCUACAAGGAUUAUUUCAUCUUUUCUUCGAACUACACAAAUUCGCGAAUGAUCAAAAAUAUGAUUCGAUCGAAGAGAAUUCAAAGAACACAGAAGAUUAAGUUGAGAAGUUGAGGAAAUUCAAGUUUUUUACGUCACUGUCUCAAAAUAUAACUUCACAUCACGUUGCAUUUCGCGAACUGUCCAAUCCAAAUUUGGUGGGACCUCGAAAGUCAAGGACAAAAUAUCGGAGGAUCCGCAAAGGAAGCCAAAAGUGUCCUGGUUAUUUUAGCGGUUUACGCAAUCGCGCGUUACUUUCACGCGCAGCGGCGAUCGUUUGCCGUCGGUUUACAUAGCUGACCGGUACUCGACGAGGGAAUCGCGUGCAAAGGACGUAUCCGGAGCAGAUCCGCGGUUUCCUCGCAGCCGACCGGAUUGCUCAAAUCCAAGGAUUUCUACAUUCUAACACGCGCACCCACUGAUAAACCGCGUACGAUCGCGUUAUCUGCGCUCGAGCGUUCGACGCACGGGCGUGUCACGCUUGGUCGCUCGGAAUCGCCGAGAAUAUUGUCAGAAUAAAUAUUUCCAAAUACCAUUUGUGCCAAAGGUACCGCCUCCGUGCACGUUUUCGCGUUUCACUGGAAUACUGGGUGAAAAUUUUUCACCAUGCGAACAGAUAUACUUUCCUAUUAUAUGUAACUUGCGAACGUAGACUUCGUACGAUAUAUUAGUCAGCAACUCGCAACACCAAUUUACAGUAUGACGUAGCAAUGAGUAAUACUAUAUAAACAAAAUACAACUCGUAUGUACACAUAACGGUAGCAUGAUUUUUAGAUAAUAGUUCCGAUGGAACUUGGCUUUAGAAAAUUGUUAUCCUCUAUCGAUAGUGGAAAUACCGGGAAUAUGCUGUUAUAUCGAGCUGUAUCAAAAAUUUUCAAACAAACAGAAAAAUCUUUAAAACACGAAUCAGUUGUUAUCUUGUCAGAGAAAAAUUUAUCUCAUGUAUCGGUUUUUUAUUUUAUUCCAACAGAAUGUGAAACUUUCUAUGUCUAUGUAACGAUACUUGUUUGCUAUUAACGAGAUAAUAGUAUUUUGCUUAACACGGUACAUAAUCUUCGUGGUGUAAAAGUGUUAUCUGUAGGUAAAACUCGAAGGAAGCUCGUUAACAUAGGAAAUUGAUAUGGCAAAGAAUCAAAGACUCAGGAUGAAAAGCCUGCGUUUCGCGGUUAAAUCGUGCUCGCGUGCCACAUUUCCCGCUAACUUCUGAUUAACAUUCUUGGCUGGUUGCCGUACGAUGGUACCGAUCGCCGAUACACCUGCAACCGGCGCACUGUUCCUCGAUAUCGCGAUACGAUGUGCACCACGUGCCAUCGGAAAUUCCAUUGACUGGCAGAAAGCGUGGAGCCGGCACAUUAUGUAAUUCACGGACGAACUGCACCUACGAGUUUCCUAUUCCUGUCAGCCGGUAUUUCGAUCAUUAGACUGUGGAUGUUUGCACAUUUACGAGAAAUUUGAAAGUACAAAAUCGCGCAGAAUGCGCAUAAUACGAAAAGAUGUAUAAAAUAUGCAAAGCUUAGCGCUUUCUACGAUUCUUGGAAAGUGAAACAACUUUCUACCGAGGUUUUACUUUUUGAAUUACAUUGUCAAAAGUAUGAAUUCGCAUAAAAAUUCGCGGUUUGACGGAAACUCCGCUAAUUUCGAUUCUUACCGCACCUAUACGCGUAUGCGACGAUCAAAUUUUUAUUUUUACGAGAAUAGGAACGGAAUUCUGCAAAUGGGUGAAUCCGUUGGAUACGAUGUUUCCGUAAAGUUCGGUACAGGUCGGUGACGUUUUAAUUCGACUCCGCGAGUUUCGCAUUCCAGCAUUCUGCGAGCAACAGACACUUGUCGACGGGAACUGCGACCAGAUCUGCGUUUACGUGCAACGGACGGACACCGCAGCUCGGUAUCCUCGAUAUCGGUACAAAUAUGGUGCGAUCGCUGGGACACAUACGCGCUGUAUCGAGCAACGUCUUUCUGCGUAGUUGGGCGACGAUGUUUGCGAAUCGUGAGACCGGUUCCACAUGGAGAUACGGGAAUAGAUCGAAGUUACGGUGGUCCACGAAAGUAUUUCAACUCUCGCCGUAGAAAACUUUCGUAAAUACAUUGCGUGUGUUAUACGUAACUUCUUGCAAUUUCAUUAGCGCUAUAAUGAUAUAAGAGGCACGAUCGUCGUGAUUAGAUGCUUCAAAUUUGAAAUCACAAGUUUAUACUAAAUAUUAAAAAUAAGACCUAUUUAUUGGAAACACACGCUUAGUGAAAAAUUAAGAUACAGCAUACACAUUGAUCUUGGUAAAAAAUCUCUUUAGCAAAUGUUCGAAUGCCUUCGUCGGACACUGUACGUUAAAUUGUAUACAACGUACAUUUGAUACAGUCGAUUCUACAAAGUGACAAGAUCGCUCUUAUAACAAGCGAUGCUUUUGAUCGCUGGUCGUUAAUUCGUCUAUUUCACACUCGUGCAUUGGCCAGUACUUCUGUAUAAUCUUCCGCGUAUCUUCUCUGUGAAAGAGUUUCAAAGUUAUAUCCCUGUUCAAUCUGAAACUCUUGAAAGGUAAUUUUAAAGCGAUCACGAGGACGUUUCAUUCUACUCUAUCGCUGAAGAAGAGAACACGUGUAUCUAAAGUGGUAACGUUUUGUUCGCUCUGCUCGUUGACAGAAGGAACAUCCAUAAAGUGGUCACAUCCCUCUGUCCGCGCGUCACCGAUCGAACCUGGCUUCCGACAGUUUCAAUU
This is an RNA transcript of Bombus huntii, 4980 nucleotides long. It is a transcript of the gene named mucosa-associated lymphoid tissue lymphoma translocation protein 1-like, with no coding region annotated. The record is from RefSeq and is a predicted model, not a curated record. NCBI's taxonomy places the organism in Eukaryota, Metazoa, Arthropoda, Insecta, Hymenoptera, Apidae. The transcript is spliced from 11 exons.